GUUUGUUUAUGUUUGGAUUGUGUUCAGCAUAAAUUACAGGUGUGUUUCCCUGUGUGGGUGGUGUUCAGCACCAAGGACGGGUAUUUUUGCAU
RNAcentral lists this microRNA precursor (92 nucleotides) under Branchiostoma floridae (Florida lancelet). RNAcentral's name for it is "mir-2060 microRNA precursor family". It matches the Rfam family "mir-2060 microRNA precursor family". The record is from Rfam by way of RNAcentral. Lineage: Eukaryota; Metazoa; Chordata; Leptocardii; Amphioxiformes; Branchiostomatidae.